Molecule: ribosomal RNA, 1373 nt
Filed under: uncultured bacterium
Lineage: Bacteria
Description: 16S ribosomal RNA
Rfam family: Bacterial small subunit ribosomal RNA
Source: RNAcentral
CCUGGCUCAGAUUGAACGCUGGCGGCAGGCCUAACAUUUGCAAGUCGAGCGGUAGAGAGAAGCUUGCUUCUCUUGAGAGCGGCGGACGGGUGAGUAAUGCCUAGGAAUCUGCCUGGUAGUGGGGGAUAACGUUCGGAAACGGACGCUAAUACCGCAUACGUCCUACGGGAGAAAGCAGGGGACCUUCGGGCCUUGCGCUAUCAGAUGAGCCUAGGUCGGAUUAGCUAGUUGGUGAGGUAAUGGCUCACCAAGGCGACGAUCCGUAACUGGUCUGAGAGGAUGAUCAGUCACACUGGAACUGAGACACGGUCCAGACUCCUACGGGAGGCAGCAGUGGGGAAUAUUGGACAAUGGGCGAAAGCCUGAUCCAGCCAUGCCGCGUGUGUGAAGAAGGUCUUCGGAUUGUAAAGCACUUUAAGUUGGGAGGAAGGGCAGUAAAUUAAUACUUUGCUGUUUUGACGUUACCGACAGAAUAAGCACCGGCUAACUCUGUGCCAGCAGCCGCGGUAAUACAGAGGGUGCAAGCGUUAAUCGGAAUUACUGGGCGUAAAGCGCGCGUAGGUGGUUUGUUAAGUUGGAUGUGAAAUCCCCGGGCUCAACCUGGGAACUGCAUUCAAAACUGACUGACUAGAGUAUGGUAGAGGGUGGUGGAAUUUCCUGUGUAGCGGUGAAAUGCGUAGAUAUAGGAAGGAACACCAGUGGCGAAGGCGACCACCUGGACUAAUACUGACACUGAGGUGCGAAAGCGUGGGAAGCAAACAGGAUUAGAUACCCUGGUAGUCCACGCCGUAAACGAUGUCAACUAGCCGUUGGAAGCCUUGAGCUUUUAGUGGCGCAGCUAACGCAUUAAGUUGACCGCCUGGGGAGUACGGCCGCAAGGUUAAAACUCAAAUGAAUUGACGGGGGCCCGCACAAGCGGUGGAGCAUGUGGUUUAAUUCGAAGCAACGCGAAGAACCUUACCAGGCCUUGACAUCCAAUGAACUUUCUAGAGAUAGAUUGGUGCCUUCGGGAACAUUGAGACAGGUGCUGCAUGGCUGUCGUCAGCUCGUGUCGUGAGAUGUUGGGUUAAGUCCCGUAACGAGCGCAACCCUUGUCCUUAGUUACCAGCACGUAAUGGUGGGCACUCUAAGGAGACUGCCGGUGACAAACCGGAGGAAGGUGGGGAUGACGUCAAGUCAUCAUGGCCCUUACGGCCUGGGCUACACACGUGCUACAAUGGUCGGUACAGAGGGUUGCCAAGCCGCGAGGUGGAGCUAAUCCCAUAAAACCGAUCGUAGUCCGGAUCGCAGUCUGCAACUCGACUGCGUGAAGUCGGAAUCGCUGGUAAUCGCGAAUCAGAAUGUCGCGGUGAAUACGUUCAAGGGCCUUGUAC